This 1355-nucleotide long non-coding RNA is filed under the name Hordeum vulgare. RNAcentral's name for it is "long non-coding RNA (HVUL_LNC008048)". Lineage: Eukaryota; Viridiplantae; Streptophyta; Magnoliopsida; Poales; Poaceae. The record is from RNAcentral.
GGCCGCAAACAACUACACUGCACAUUCGCGUGCCACUACAUUGGCCGGCUCCAUCGAGCUCAUAGCCAAUCCGCACAGUUUCUACACCAAGCAUCGGCAUGGUAUCUUGGUCGUCCUCUCUAAUUUGACCCUCUCACUCCAUUCUCAUUCUGCGGAAACACCAAUGAAUGCUUUCGUUCGUGUGCAGCAUCAAUGGAUCCAGGCCCGGGGAAAGAUUUUACAAAUGUCGCCUAUGUGAUGUAGUGAGUGGAAUUAUUAAAUAUAUCUACAUUGGUCCUUCAUACAUGACGUGCCGCUAACCAUUACCUCUCGUGUUCAUCGAUCUUUAACAUUUUCGUCCAUCAUAAAGCUUAUGAACCCAUCUUUCCUAUACACUACACGCAGGCUACAUCCCCACUGUCAGCACCUUCUUGAAUGACACCCAGCUGGUCUUCAUGACUUGGUCCUUCAACAACAUCCUGCUCUAUCACCUCCACGUUAUCAACCUCGCUUUGGCUGUACGCCGCCGCGCAGCCGGCUCAGGCCACCACACUCGCCUGCUCUGAGCCUCGGUCAACCGUCAACCCUCCCAAUCUGCAUGGCACCGCUGCCCAUGAGGCCCUGUAACCCAAGAUCUGUCGUCGCUGUGCAACAACUACCGCAUCCACUCACGGAUGACGCCUUGACGGCGUUGGCUGCCGCAGGCAAAUCGAAGUGCGCGACCACACCCACAGUAGAUUCCAUGUUAGGGAAUAUUGGCCAGCAGCCAGCCGCAGAAAUCCAGUAGAGUUAUCUGGACACGUCGUUAAUGGGGAAAUUCAUCAUCAUGUCCAUGCGUCGCUGCGAUGGCGCCGCCGUUCUCACGGGGGCCUUCUACAGCCCUCCACAGCAACUCUAACUACUAACUCCACCCUAUCACCCACACCCAAGCUCCUCUACGGUACAGAUGUGGUAGACACCGGUCUGGUUCGUGGACCGUAUUCACUUCACGGCCUGUGGGGGAGCGACAACAUCCUCUACCACGGUACAUAUGUCUACACGUGUGUACAUGUCCGCCGGUAUCAUCGGUACAGGACCAAUUUGUACCACCUCCGUCCUCAUGUAACCGAUGCCUCAUCAUGCCCGUUAGUGGCCGUCGACUGAUGCCUCCUAUAUAUAUACCUGUCACUAUGUAUAUCCAAUUUCCAAGCAGCUCAUAUCGUACAUUGAAUAUGUCCCGGUACACAUCCCAAUGUACAUCUGUACACCCAUGAUAUCAGACUCAUUUAUACCUGGGAGCCAAAACGCCACUCCCCAAAAUAUUUCCUUUUACAAAUUGAAGACCGGAAAUUUAGUUUUUUCGGUCGGCUGCUCCAGAGCGCUAGGUAGCAGUAGGC